This 119-nucleotide ribosomal RNA is filed under the name Olea europaea subsp. europaea. The record is from RNAcentral. Lineage: Eukaryota; Viridiplantae; Streptophyta; Magnoliopsida; Lamiales; Oleaceae.
GGGUGCGACCAUAUCAGCACUAACGCACCGGAUCCCGUCAGAACAACGAAGUUAAGCGUGCAUGGGCGAGAAUAGUACUAGGAUGGUUGGCCCCCUGGGAAGUCCUCCUGUUGCACCCC